UGAGGAAUAUUGGUCAAUGGGCGAGAGCCUGAACCAGCCAAGUAGCGUGCAGGAUGACGGCCCUAUGGGUUGUAAACUGCUUUUAUGUGGGGAUAAAGUGCGUGACGUGUCAUGCAUUGCAGGUACCACAUGAAUAAGGACCGGCUAAUUCCGUGCCAGCAGCCGCGGUAAUACGGAAGGUCCGGGCGUUAUCCGGAUUUAUUGGGUUUAAAGGGAGCGUAGGCUGUCUAUUAAGCGUGUUGUGAAAUUUACCGGCUCAACCGGUGGCUUGCAGCGCGAACUGGUCGACUUGAGUAUGCAGGAAGUAGGCGGAAUUCAUGGUGUAGCGGUGAAAUGCUGAGAUAUCAUGACGAACUCCGAUUGCGCAGGCAGCUUACUGUAGCAUAACUGACGCUGAUGCUCGAAAGUGCGGGUAUCAAACAGG
This 424-nucleotide ribosomal RNA is filed under the name Fusobacteriota bacterium. RNAcentral describes it as "Fusobacteria bacterium partial 16S ribosomal RNA". It matches the Rfam family "Bacterial small subunit ribosomal RNA", at positions 355 to 776 of the family's 1533-position model. Lineage: Bacteria; Fusobacteriati; Fusobacteriota. The record is from RNAcentral.